This 255-nucleotide ribosomal RNA is filed under the name Pseudomonas sp. PDM07. RNAcentral describes it as "partial 16S ribosomal RNA". It matches the Rfam family "Bacterial small subunit ribosomal RNA", at positions 342 to 589 of the family's 1533-position model. Lineage: Bacteria; Pseudomonadati; Pseudomonadota; Gammaproteobacteria; Pseudomonadales; Pseudomonadaceae. The record is from RNAcentral.
CGGGAGGCAGCAGUGGGGAAUAUUGGACAAUGGGCGAAAGCCUGAUCCAGCCAUGCCGCGUGUGUGAAGAAGGUCUUCGGAUUGUAAAGCACUUUAAGUUGGGAGGAAGGGCAGUUACCUAAUACGUAAUUGUUUUGACGUUACCGACAGAAUAAGCACCGGCUAACUCUGUGCCAGCAGCCGCGGUAAUACAGAGGGUGCAAGCGUUAAUCGGAAUUACUGGGCGUAAAGCGCGCGUAGGUGGUUCGUUAAGUU